CCCUUAGAUGUUCUGGGCCGCACGCGCGCUACACUGAUGCAUUCAACGAGUCUAAAACCUGGUCUGAGAGGGCUGGGUAAUCUUUUGAAAGUGCAUCGUGAUUGGGAUAGAUGAUUGCAAUUCUUCAUCUUCAACGAGGAAUGCCUAGUAAACGCAAGUCAUCAGCUUGCAUUGAUUACGUCCCUGCCCUUUGUACACACCGCCCGUCGCUCCUACCGAUUGAACGAUCCGAUGAAAACUGUGGAUUGAGAGUCUGAGUGGGUUCGCCUACCCCAACUUUCGAGAAGCGGUUUAAAUCUUAUCGUUUAGAGGAAGGAGAAGUCGUAACA
RNAcentral lists this ribosomal RNA (329 nucleotides) under uncultured eukaryote. Its description in RNAcentral is "partial 18S ribosomal RNA". It matches the Rfam family "Eukaryotic small subunit ribosomal RNA", at positions 1470 to 1796 of the family's 1831-position model. The record is from RNAcentral.